Molecule: ribosomal RNA, 322 nt
Filed under: uncultured eukaryote
Lineage: Eukaryota
Description: partial 18S ribosomal RNA
Rfam family: Eukaryotic small subunit ribosomal RNA
Source: RNAcentral
CCCUUAGAUGUUCUGGGCCGCACGCGUGCUACACUGAGUGGAUCAGCGGGUCAGGUUGCGCGAAAGUGUUUCCUAAUCUUUAAAUCCACUCGUGAUGGGGAUUGACGGUUGCAAUUUUCCGUCAUGAACGAGGAAUACCUUGUAAGCGCGGGUCAUCAUCCCGCGCUGAAUACGUCCCUGCCCUUUGUACACACCGCCCGUCGCUCCUACCGAUUGAGUGGUCCGGUGAGGCUUUGGGAUCUGAGCGGAAAGAGCGUUUCGCUGUUUCUGCUCGGAAAACUCAGUCGAACCUUAUCAUUUAGAGGAAGGAGAAGUCGUAACA